AUACCGUUUCAAACCGGUAUUGAAAUCAAUACUGUAAUACCGAAAAUUAUUUUCAAUACCGUCAGCCCUAAAUUAAGGUGUAAACUAAAAUAUAAAAUAUAAAUUUCAAAUUUUAUAGAAUGGAGGAUAAUUUGAAAAACUGGCAACAGGCCCCUUGAUAAUAAUGUUCUACUAGAGAUGUAAUAUAAUAACCUAGAGAAAUAUUAAAAUAUUCUGACAUCACAUUUGUAUAAACUUAUUCUAGUACCUAUAUCCGCUCAAGUAUUGUGAAUUAGUAACAUGUUAAUACAAAAGUCGUAACUCAUAAUAUUUAUUUGAGGUAUUGACAUUUAAUUUUGUUUUAGUCAAGCAACAAUCAAAAAAUAUUAUCAACAAUUACCAUAAUCAUUUUUAUCCAAAUAGGCUUAGAACAUAGUUAAUACUUAAUAUUGAUAGUUGUUUAAAAAUAAAAUAACGUAUACAAAAGAAUUGGUCAGAUGGUUAAAUAUUUUUGAUACCUAAUUUACGUAAUUUGUAGUACAUAAAGACGACUGGCUGAUAAAACGAUUUUUUUUUUAGAAAAGUGUAAAGGUAAAAUGUUUUAAUUAAUAAACAAAUAGUAACUUCAAAUCGUUAUGAUAUAAUGAAUUUUAUACUUGUGCAAAAAAAGAUUGUACAGGUCUAAAUUGUGCAUAUUGGGAAAUCAUAUAUAAAUAAAUUCUUAAUGCUAGAAACGAAAUAUUACGGGAUUUUAUGAUUUUUUGGGGGAAAAUAAAAUAUUUUAUAACAACAGGAAAGGAGUGACGAAGAAAAAACGGAGAGUUAGGAGCAAUAUAGGUACAACGAAAAGAUCAUUGUAGAGACCAUCGUAAAGGUAGAUGAUGCAGUAGAUUGCACCAGGUAGGACAGAUAAUGAGGAGACGAAACUCAUUGCUAAGAUCUGUGAUUGAACCGAAGCUAGAUGGUCAAAGACCUUUGGUAGGACCAACAAUGAUGUUGGAUGAUACGGCGGAAGAGGACGUGCAAGCAUUAGGAGGCAAAUCAAAUUUCAAGACUCUGUCAUUAGAUAUUUAAAUAGAGAUAGUUGGAUAAUUGAUUGUGAGAUGUCCUAGUGUCCAGAUAAACCAGAAGAAGAAAAGGAAGAUGUUUACAUUUUAGAAAAAAAUUAAAAGGUUUAUGUAUAUUGUGCAUUUAUUAAUUAUUUUAGCUUUUUUAGCUUAAAAUAUUUUACUUAUGGUACUUAUAUGGUAACAACUCAAGCAUAGUUUUAUAUAAAUCUGUUUGAAUAAUUUUAAAAUGUUCUAGUGAUUCUAACUGAAUAUGCUGGAUUUAAAAGUAAGUAAAUUGUAAAUAAUUAAUUUUUAUUACAUCCUAGUUUUCGAAAUAUAUUCCUAAUUAAAAUAUAUAAGAAUUUACUUUUAUGAUCUAAAAGGUAAAUUUAAGCUAUUUUAAUUUUACCCAUUUGAAUAUUGGGGCAUAACAUGAACAAAUAUUUAUUCAUUUUUUUAUUAUUAGGAAAAUAAUUAGUAUUCUAACACUAAAACUUUGCAUGGAUGGUAAAAUGUGUGCUGUAAGUUCCAGGAUGCCAUUUUCCAAAAAAUUUUCAUAACUCCUGUGACACAACGUCUCUGACCAGAGAAAUUGUUCAUAUGCAAUGGCUUAUCAUUGAAUUCAAACAUGAUACAUCCAUUACAAUGACAUACUUGACAACUACUGUAAAUCAGACUGAUGGAGAAAUAGCUGACAUAACAAAAGCGGAAAGUAAAGAUGAUGAAAAUUAUGAAAUACAAACAGUGAAUUAUAAAGGUAUUUAUUUAAAAAUACAUAUGAGUGUUGUUUCCCCUCUCCUGAGAACUCUGGACCCAAGCCUGUAAUGUAUACCAUUCAAUGAAACGUCGCAUAUCUUUAUUUUUUAGAAAACUUCGGGGUUGGGGGCAGUUGUCCGAAAAAUGAUAAGGAAGUUUAUACCACAAUACCGUACCAGCAUAUACCAGCAUAUUCCAGUGACACCAAUUUGAAAAAGCAUCGUACAGUGAUGCCAUGCUAGCGGCACUCGUCGCUACGCUCCUCGGCGCCGUCGCUCCGCUCCGCAAAUCGAAAAUAUCCCCCGACUUGCUGUGCAACACCACCUCAAGUUGGUCACAGGGUAACCACAGGUGAACCACCGUACAACCACUCUUAUCGGUCUUUAUCAUUAUUCGGACAACUGCCAGCCACCGUGUUUAUAGAUUACCUACUGUAUUUUUAAAUAUUGUCUAUGUAAAACCAAUUAUUACACAUACAAUAAGUUAUAUUUAGUAAAUUGUCUUAGAUCUUAUAUUCAUAUUAUUUUAUAAUUAAUAUCAUACAGUUGAUAAGUAUUUAUAAUUAAUACAUAUUAUAACUUAUGUAUUUAGUCACGAAUUGAGAUUUUUAUGGUACCUAGGUACCUUAUAAUAAAUAUCUCAAAUAAUUUUAACCCCGUGAGGACGCGAGGUAUUAUUAUAUUUAUGGUUAUAAUAUGACUUGUCAUUCUGGGUCACAUUUGUUUAAUACGUAAGCACGUUUUUACAGUAGUUAUCAUGAAGAUUUAAAACUGCAGAAAUACUUACGAUUGCAAAAUCGAAAACUAUGAUAAAAACUAAGCUAAUAUAACAAAAUAUUGUGAGGCCAACUAAAUUUCUAAACAGAAAAAAAACAUACCUAUCUAAAAAAAAAAAAUCGCUAAUAAAAAAUGUCAGGUCUACUAAACUAAAACUGAACUCAUUUAUUGUAAUCCAUAUAUUUGUUUUUAUAGAAAAGAAUGACGGUGAGUAGUUACCGUUAAGUAGAUAUAUGUAAUGAGUUUUAUAAUUUGUCUUAUUGAAGGAAGUAGGUAAAAAAUGGAUUUGAAGAGUAUAAAAAAAUUGAAAUUUUGAUCUUCCUUAUACCUACAUGGGCUACAUGAUAGUACUUACCUAUAGUUGUAUAGGAUGUUUUUGUUGGUUCAUUGCAUUACAAAAUUAUACAAAAUCUUGAUAAAGUAACUAACAGUGUGCAUAGCUUAGAAAUAGGUUAGUAUUCUGUUUCAAAUCUAAAUAUUGAAUUAAAAUAAUUGGAACCAUUAUAUGUUAAUAAGUACCUAAUGCCUAAUUAACAAUUAUUAUACUAACUUGUAAAUUGAUCAU
This is a long non-coding RNA of Metopolophium dirhodum (rose-grain aphid), 3125 nucleotides long. RefSeq lists it as uncharacterized. Lineage: Eukaryota; Metazoa; Arthropoda; Insecta; Hemiptera; Aphididae. The transcript is spliced from 4 exons. The record is from RefSeq and is a predicted model, not a curated record.